This 255-nucleotide ribosomal RNA is filed under the name Escherichia coli. Its description in RNAcentral is "partial 16S ribosomal RNA". It matches the Rfam family "Bacterial small subunit ribosomal RNA", at positions 1 to 252 of the family's 1533-position model. The record is from RNAcentral. Lineage: Bacteria; Pseudomonadati; Pseudomonadota; Gammaproteobacteria; Enterobacterales; Enterobacteriaceae.
AAAUUGAAGAGUUUGAUCAUGGCUCAGAUUGAACGCUGGCGGCAGGCCUAACACAUGCAAGUCGAACGGUAACAGGAAGAAGCUUGCUUCUUUGCUGACGAGUGGCGGACGGGUGAGUAAUGUCUGGGAAGCUGCCUGAUGGAGGGGGAUAACUACUGGAAACGGUAGCUAAUACCGCAUAACGUCGCAAGACCAAAGAGGGGGACCUUCGGGCCUCUUGCCAUCGGAUGUGCCCAGAUGGGAUUAGCUAGUAGG